GACGUAGGAUGCAAGCGUUGUCCGGAAUUAUUGGGCGUAAAGAGUUCGUAGGCGGUUUGUUAAGUCUGGUGUUAAAGACGGGAGCUCAACUCCCGCAUGGCAUCGGAUACUGGCAGGCUAGAGUGUGGUAGAGGUCUCGGGAAUUCCAGGUGUAGCGGUGAAAUGCGUAGAUAUCUGGAGGAACACCGGUGGCGAAAGCGCGAGACUGGGCCAUAACUGACGCUGAGGAACGAAAGCCAGGGGAGCAAAAGGG
Molecule: ribosomal RNA, 253 nt
Filed under: uncultured bacterium
Lineage: Bacteria
Description: partial 16S ribosomal RNA
Rfam family: Bacterial small subunit ribosomal RNA
Source: RNAcentral